This 158-nucleotide unclassified non-coding RNA is filed under the name uncultured Aspergillaceae. RNAcentral describes it as "sequence contains ITS2". Lineage: Eukaryota; Fungi; Ascomycota; Eurotiomycetes; Eurotiales; Aspergillaceae. The record is from RNAcentral.
CUGCCCUCCAGCCCGGCUGGUGUGUUGGGCCCCGUCCCCCCGGGGACGGGCCCGAAAGGCAGCGGCGGCACCGCGUCCGGUCCUCGAGCGUAUGGGGCUUUGUCACCCGCUCCCGUAGGCCCGGCCGGCGCCCGCCGACCCCCAACCAAUCUUUCUCA